AUUGAACGCUGGCGGCAGGCCUAACACAUGCAAGUCGAGCGGUAGAGAGAAGCUUGCUUCUCUUGAGAGCGGCGGACGGGUGAGUAAUGCCUAGGAAUCUGCCCGGUAGUGGGGGACAACGUUUCGAAAGGAACGCUAAUACCGCAUACGUCCUACGGGAGAAAGUGGGGGCUCUUCGGACCUCACGCUAUCGGAUGAGCCUAGGUCGGAUUAGCUAGUUGGUGGGGUAAGGGCCCACCAAGGCGACGAUCCGUAACUGGUCUGAGAGGAUGAUCAGUCACACUGGAACUGAGACACGGUCCAGACUCCUACGGGAGGCAGCAGUGGGGAAUAUUGGACAAUGGGCGAAAGCCUGAUCCAGCCAUGCCGCGUGUGUGAAGAAGGUCUUCGGAUUGUAAAGCACUUUAAGUCGGGAGGAAGGGCUGCCGGUUAAUACCCUGCAGCCUUGACGUUACCGACAGAAUAAGCACCGGCUAACUUCGUGC
RNAcentral lists this ribosomal RNA (485 nucleotides) under uncultured bacterium. RNAcentral describes it as "bacterial SSU rRNA". It matches the Rfam family "Bacterial small subunit ribosomal RNA", at positions 30 to 508 of the family's 1533-position model. The record is from RNAcentral.